AACGAACGCUGGCGGCAGGCUUAACACAUGCAAGUCGAACGCCCCGCAAGGGGAGUGGCAGACGGGUGAGUAACGCGUGGGAAUCUACCCAUCUCUGCGGAAUAGCUCCGGGAAACUGGAAUUAAUACCGCAUACGCCCUACGGGGGAAAGAUUUAUCGGGGAUGGAUGAGCCCGCGUUGGAUUAGCUAGUUGGUGGGGUAAAGGCCUACCAAGGCGACGAUCCAUAGCUGGUCUGAGAGGAUGAUCAGCCACAUUGGGACUGAGACACGGCCCAAACUCCUACGGGAGGCAGCAGUGGGGAAUAUUGGACAAUGGGCGCAAGCCUGAUCCAGCCAUGCGGCGUGGGUGAUGAAGGCCUUAGGGUUGUAAAGCUCUUUCACCGGUGAAGAUAAUGACGGUAACCGGAGAAGAAGCCCCGGCUAACUUCGUGCCAGCAGCCGCCAUAA
RNAcentral lists this ribosomal RNA (447 nucleotides) under uncultured bacterium. Its description in RNAcentral is "partial 16S ribosomal RNA". It matches the Rfam family "Bacterial small subunit ribosomal RNA", at positions 29 to 523 of the family's 1533-position model. The record is from RNAcentral.